UGGAUAGGGGUUCUGAGAGGAAGGUCCCCCACAUUGGAACUGAGACACGGUCCAAACUCCUACGGGAGGCAGCAGUGAGGAAUAUUGGUCAAUGGACGAGAGUCUGAACCAGCCAAGUAGCGUGAAGGAUGACUGCCCUAUGGGUUGUAAACUUCUUUUAUAUGGGAAUAAAACGUUCCACGUGUGGGAUUUUGUAUGUACCAUAUGAAUAAGGAUCGGCUAACUCCGUGCCAGCAGCCGCGGUAAUACGGAGGAUCCGAGCGUUAUCCGGAUUUAUUGGGUUUAAAGGGAGCGUAGGUGGAUUGUUAAGUCAGUUGUGAAAGUUUGCGGCUCAACCGUAAAAUUGCAGUUGAAACUGGCAGUCUUGAGUACAGUAGAGGUGGGCGGAAUUCGUGGUGUAGCGGUGAAAUGCUUAGAUAUCACGAAGAACUCCGAUUGCGAAGGCAGCUCACUGGACUGCAACUGACACUGAGGCUCGAAAGUGUGGGUAUCAAACAGGAUUAGAUACCCUGGUAGUCCACACAGUAAACGAUGAAUACUCGCUGUUUGCGAUAUACAGUAA
This 562-nucleotide ribosomal RNA is filed under the name uncultured bacterium. RNAcentral's name for it is "bacterial SSU rRNA". It matches the Rfam family "Bacterial small subunit ribosomal RNA", at positions 280 to 842 of the family's 1533-position model. The record is from RNAcentral.